RNAcentral lists this ribosomal RNA (253 nucleotides) under uncultured bacterium. RNAcentral describes it as "partial 16S ribosomal RNA". It matches the Rfam family "Bacterial small subunit ribosomal RNA", at positions 524 to 776 of the family's 1533-position model. The record is from RNAcentral.
UACGUAGGGGGCAAGCGUUGUCCGGAUUUAUUGGGCGUAAAGCGCUCGCAGGUGGUUCGAUGCGUCGUGCGUGAAAGACCCCGGCUCAACUGGGGAGGGUCGUGCGAUACGGUCGGACUGGAGGCCAGUAGGGGGAUGCGGAAUUCCGGGUGUAGUGGUGGAAUGCGUAGAUAUGACAUAGAACACCAAUUGCGUAGGCAGCUUACUACACGAUCAUUGACGCUGAGGCACGAAAGCGUGGGGAGCAAACAGG